RNA transcript from Anolis carolinensis (green anole), 3309 nucleotides. It is a transcript of the gene named protein kinase AMP-activated non-catalytic subunit gamma 3, with no coding region annotated. NCBI's taxonomy places the organism in Eukaryota, Metazoa, Chordata, Lepidosauria, Squamata, Anolidae. The record is from RefSeq and is a predicted model, not a curated record. The transcript has 13 exons.
GGCCGCUCCCGCAGCUCCCGGGGUUUGAACCUGGGACCUUUCGGUCUGCAAGUUCAACAGCUCAGUGCUUUAACACACUUCGUCACCGGGGCUUCCAGUUAUGAAGAAGGAACGAAAAUAAUUGUAUGGUUGGGGGUCACCACAAUAUGAGGAACUGUAUUAAGGAGUCCCGGCAUUAGGAUGGUAGAGAACCGGGGAUGCUGGGAGUUGUAGUUUUACGAGGACUUUCGCCUUCUCCAGACUGUAAUUGCCGUGAUUCCAUAGGCAGUUCAAGCGGUGUCAGGCUGCGUUCAUGCAGCUUGCUACAGACGCACUGCCUCUCUCCGGCCUCGGGCGCCGCUCUGCUGAGGAGGCUUCUGGCCCUUCUGGAAGCGCUGCGGUGGACGAGGGGCGGCGGGGCGGGCCUUCCCUCUCUCCUCCCCCUCCAAGCUGCCCUCCCCUCCGCUUGCGGUGUGUUUAUGCCAGGCCCACCGCCCAGCCGGACGCCCCGGCGCCUCGGCCCUUCGCCCGAAAGAGGAGCCAUGGAGAGGCAGGAGGACGCGGCGGAAAAGGCGCCAGUGGCCUCGGAGCAGGCAUUACCACUGAACAAUGGUCUCCAGCAUCAGGAAGCAGGCCCCGUCCUUUCUCGAGAUAUUAAGGAAUCUGCUUUGGAAGCCAAUGCAGGAGUUCUGGAGACCAAAGACCUCAUUGCAGAGGGCAAAACUACCAAGCUGAAUGGGAUGUCAGGUGGCCGGAGCAUGAACUGUGAUCCCGAAGUUGUGGCACGAGAUGCCAAGGCAGCAAACGGAAGUGGCAGAGUGACAGGACUGACUGCCGAGACCGCAGAUGCAAAGGCCAAAGAGUUGGAUGAAGCUGAAAAUGGUCGGCCUGAAGCCACAGGAACAGAGAAUAAGCAAGUGAAUCCAAGCAGAAAGGAGUGUGUGAUCCUAGGAGACAUGAAUGGUGACAGGAAGGCCAGAGUCACUGCACCAGGUGAUAAAGAUGUCUGUCAACAUAUCCAAGGACCAGACCUGGAUCCAACAGGAGCAGCAGCAAUCAUAGCAGCAACAGCCACAGCAGCAACAACAGUGGAAACUACUCUGCUUGAACAGAGAAACAAAGAAAGUGACGGGGACAUCAUUUCUCUCGAUUGUGAAAUUCUUGGCUUUGGCCCUGACAUUGACUUUUUGGGGCCAGAUGCUGAGCUCUAUAUGCAGUUUAUGCGGAGCCACCACUGUUAUGAUGCCAUCCCCACCAGCUCAAAACUGGUAGUGUUUGACACCACCUUGCAGAUUAAGAAGGCCUUCUUUGCCAUGGUGGCUAAUGGGGUGCGAGCUGCUCCUCUCUGGGACAACAAAAAGAAAUGUUUUGUGGGUAUGCUGACUAUCACUGACUUUAUUAACAUCCUACAUCGCUACUACCGAUCACCUCUGGUUCAGAUAUAUGAGAUUGAGGAGCACAAAAUUGAAACAUGGCGAGAGGUGUAUUUGCAAAGUUCCUACAAACCCCUAGUGUGCAUCUCCCCAAAUGAUAGCCUCUUUGAUGCUGUUUAUUCCUUGAUUAAGAACAAAAUUCACCGGCUGCCUGUGAUUGAGCCCAUCUCAGGGAAUGUCCUUCACAUCCUGACACACAAGCGGAUCCUUAAGUUUCUGCAUAUUUUUGGCGCCAUGCUUCCAAAGCCACGUUUCCUGCAGAGAACCAUCCUGGAGCUGGGCAUUGGCACCUUCCGGGACGUUGCGAUUGUACUGGAGUCAGCUCCUGUUUACACAGCUCUGGAGACUUUUGUGGACCGCAGAGUUUCAGCAUUGCCGGUUAUUAAUGACAAAGGGAGUGUAGUUGGGCUCUACUCCCGCUUUGAUGUGAUUCACUUGGCUGCCCAGAAGUCCUACAACAACCUGGAUAUAAGUGUGGGGGAAGCACUGAAGCAACGCUCAGUUUGCCUAGAAGGAGUGCUCACAUGCCACCCGUACGAAACGAUGGAAGAGAUAAUUGACCGUAUCGCCAAAGAGCAGGUCCAUCGCCUAGUUCUGGUGGAUGAGAAGAACGCUCCGCGGGGGAUCGUGUCCCUCUCUGACAUUCUCCAAGCUCUGGUGCUCACGCCUGCAGGUAUCGAUGCCCUAAACUCUUAAGCUGCUCGACGCUCCAUCCUUCCUCCAUUUGUACCCUCCAUUUCCUCCGCUUGUCUCCAGCUCAGGCAUUGACCGCCAUUCACUCUGACGAUGGGAAAGACCACUUUCUACCCCUCACCUUGGGUUACUGCCACCAUGUCUCUUAAGCAUGGCAGCCAGAUAAGGUGGGGCUUAUCUAUGCAGGACAAUGGUGAAGGAAGGCAAGAGAAGAAGGAGUAAAAGGGAGGAGGAGAACCUGGACUUCAGCACUGUUGGAAGAGGUUCAUCUCCUUCAACCUACUACAGUGUUCUACAGAGAGGAGAGACUACUGGUCCUCGCUGGCCACUUCACCUGUUGUCGUUUGCCUCCUUCACUAGCCUACUGCUGAUGAGAAAUGAUGUGACCGAGUGUAUAUAAGACUCCAACUCGCUUAAAAGCCACCUUACUUCAGCCUAAGCCAUUUGUUUGAAAUGAUGCUACUGCUUCGGAUUCGAGAGCAAUUAACGCUACUCACCUUCCCAAGGGAAAGCUCAAGUAGCAGCCAGAGGCAGCUGAUUUAUUCAAAGCAGAUCCCAUUGCUCUACUACAGAAAAGGAUUUCCCUCCAUUAGUUGGCCUAUUUUGGAGGGGCAUGGGGGGAAAGGCAAGUUCUUCAGAGCUGCCUCCAGUACAAGACUGAGUACUGAACGAGCAAAUUCAUUGGUUGUUUUUUUUACUUGUUUCAUCAUACUUAAGUCAGCGGUAGUGAGAGGAAGAAUACAUUUUACAAGAGAAGUAGGCACUGGAUAUUUGUGAACUGUUAAGCCCCUCUCAAAAUGCAUUUCCUCUUGUUACUAGACCAGUAUGGAGCAGGCAACCUCUGGCCUUUUCAGCAACUGUUGGACUGUAACUCUCAUUAUCCUGGACUGUGUUGAGUAGAGGUCCUGGGAGCUAUAAUAAAAGAAUAUCACAUAGGAGAAUCCUGAAACAAUAGCCAAUGCCAUGUUUUUUGUAUAUUUGUAGCCCAGAGAGCCUGGCUCACAGCAGUUCAAGGCUUGAGGCUAGUAGGUAGGGAUGAUAAGUAUUGUAGUUGUCCCAAUACCAGGUUCCCCAUCCCUGUGCUAGAAGGUAGGUAACAUGUUUCCAGUAGAGUUUGUGAUGGUGGGGUCUUGAAUCAGGAAUGUGUACACUUUCUAUGCUUGUUAUUUUUGUUCAUUAAAGUUUCAUAUUAAGAUACAAAUAA